CCCGCGUGGCCGAGCUGCGAGCCAGCCUGUACGAGGGCUACGAACCCGCGCAGGCCGAGCCCACCAAGAAGGACGCGGACGUGGAGGCCGCCAAGCCGGAGGAGGUCGUCGAGGACGAGAUGACGGCCAACUUCCAGCGAAAGCAACUCGCGGCCAUGAUGAAGCGCCAGGAGACCGUGCAGAGCGUGGACUCGUUCGCAUCCCACGACGACGACUUCGCUGAGUACGGCGACGAGAGCAUGGCCAUUGACCUGCUCAGCUCGGUAUCGCUGGUAACGAACCCGAGACACCAAAGGCCUCCUCCGGCGCCGCGCACCUAAGACACCUGCCAGGUCGCUUCACCGACGACGGAUCCCUCAUCCACCAGCGAGUGUGAGGGGCGCCGACGCCGCCGGAGCUCGGAGCGCGCGCCGACGCCGAGGACGACCCCGCCGUGACAUCCAGCUCGGCUUCAGACUUCUUCUCAGAGACAAAUUCCUAUCGCCAGAGUUGCGGCGCCUCUCUCACGCCACCACAGUCCUGUCAUCAUCAGCCAUCUCUCAUCGCCAUCGCUGUUGUGUCAUCACGAGAUCAGAGCCACUCGGCGCGGUAGGAUCAUGCGAUAUGGCUUCCCGGGCUUCCUCUUCAUUGACUCUGUAUCCAUGAUGUCUUGUCGUGAACUCGUGUGUCCGAGUUCGUAUUAUUCCGAGGGAUAUGCGUCUGGGGAAAAUGUAUGUAAGUGUGUAUGUGUGUGCAUUGGUGUACAUACGUGUACACGCAUGCGCAUGCACAACACUAACAUGCGUAUAGACCAAUGCACUUUCCAUUUUUUCUGAUAUUUAAAAGCAGCGUUUCAUAUACUAGCUAUUUCUCCUCGGCAGUCACUAUGAAGACAUGAGUCAUCGCAUCUCUGCCGUGCCCGGAAUACCCCAAAUAACGCCCAGUCUUUGUCUAGGCUGUCACGUCACUGACUGUUGAACUGCGUCUCCCUGUUCAGAUGAGUCUAUAUGAUGCUUUAAACAAGAGAAAUAGUUGUUCAGGAAGUGAAGAGUUUGUCACAGAACAGAAGUCGGUCCUUCGUUUGAGAGAACGAGCAAAAUUUUUAGAGCGCUAGUUACUUGGCAAAGCGGGACUAAUGACUUCCUUGGACUGGUCGAUGGACCGAGAUGGUGUAUGUCAUAUUACUUGGUGUUAUUCUAUAUCAGAACAUGUUUGCUGGUGUUCCUGUAGGUACAACUGCCCCACGUAGACGCCCCUGAAGCAUGCGGAACACAGCCAGUGGGCGGCCUGGUCGGUCUCCGCAGCCCUUGCCAUAGGCUGACAAACCAACAAAGGGAAUCUGUAAAAAGAACGGCGGAGCUGCCUUACAGAGCUCGCUCACUUGCCGAGCGACGUCUUGUUCUACUUUUUCCCGCUAAAUGUUCUGGUGAAGAGAACAAAUGCAUUUGGGAAACAACCCUAGAAUGUUUCAAUGUUAUUUCCAUUUUGCAAAUUCGAAUUUGAUUUUUAUAUAACAAAACAAUAUAAGCUACGCAACAAAUAUAUUAGUUUAUUAAAGAAAGAUAAAUGAAAAUAUAUAUAUAUAUAUACAUAACAAAACUUGUCUAGUACUUAGUGCCUUUUGCGUGGCGUCACACACCAUCUAGUAGUAUUACACUACUGAAAUAGUCAUAUGAAUUAAGGCUUCUGCUUAGCCUUAAAAUGUCUAAACCUAAGUGAUGGCCAUUUAAAAUGCCUGCAACUUGCACUGAGGUCUGACCCGUCAUCUCACAUACAUGUCAAGUGAGCAGCCACAUGUCAUAUGACUUUUUGCGCGCCAUCUGUGUUAUGUGUAACCUCGUCGAAAGUAGUUUCAUCUGUUUCCCGUCACCUCUCGGGGUCUUCAGCAUUCUAGUGUCAGGCAGUGAGCAUGCGGCCAGAGCUCUCGCUCGAGGCAGACGACUCGAGGAGGAGCUCUCCACGGCUGCACGUGUGCCCUCAGGAUUCGAGGCGCCCGGCCUUGCCCAUGGCAUGAACUCAUCAUGGAAACGAUACUGGAGAAGUGACUCAUCCUGUGCGUAACGUUAUAAAAGCCAGUCCUGUGAAUACUGUUAUUAAAGUGGUUGUCUUCUGUGCAACAUUUUUCAGAUUUUAUAUUUGUGUACAGCGCUAAGAUCUUACUGGUUAUCAGUCUUGUUUGAAGAUGGUGACUGGCUCUUUCGGAAUUUCAGGCCCGACCUUGCUUUUAGCUGCAAAGAGGCACUUUGCAGCUUAUAAGGUACUCUUCCUGAAAAGUAUGUUGAGGAGGUAGCGUGCUGCAGCUCCGAUAAGUAUAGUGUUGUUAAAGAUAUGAUUAUUUCAGUGUCAGCGUCUGUACUCAAAACUUCAUUCAUACAAAGUAUUCUGUUAGACCUCGUGCUGGUUACAGGUAUUGUUCUCUGAAAGUUCUUAUAUGUAUUUUUUUUAAUCCCGUGCUGAACCUUGUAAAGUUGAUACUUGUGUUGGAACUGUAAACCACUGAUAACUUAUUUGUGUAAUGUUGGUCUUCCGUGAAACUUCCUUUUAAAAGGAUAUAUCAAUGCUGACAUACGGACAUAGCGUUAAUAUCUAUUUUCCCUGUAGCAGUGUGUGUCUGGACAAGAUGAAGAUGAUGUUGUGAGGCCGCGGCUGUUGUGUGCCACGCCGGCUGAUCCAUUCAGUUCCCGUGAAUGUGUAAAGAAAUGUUAUUCAUUACGUAAAUGUGUGUUCUCACAUGUAUGUCAUGCCUGUGUACAAGACUACAGUAAACUGAUCCCAACAAUUUCUUUGCAUUACAAACAUUAUAAUCCUAUUUCAAUGUCAUGUACUGGGAGCUUGUACUUGCAUAACUCUACGUACGCUGUACAAAAGAUGCAUGUAAUUUUGUACAUACAUGUAGAUAUACUUGUGAAUAUAUAUGAAGUGUAUCUGUAGAUGUAUGAGGUACAUGUUUACGCAUGCCAGAAGUGAAUUUUCUUAAGGAAGAGAUUAUUAGGAUAGAAAAUAUUACUAGUGAAUUUACAAUAACAUGAACAUUUUUAAAAGAAAAUAUAAAAGAAGAUCCAAAGUCCAG
Long non-coding RNA from Penaeus indicus, 3049 nucleotides. RefSeq lists it as uncharacterized. The record is from RefSeq and is a predicted model, not a curated record. NCBI's taxonomy places the organism in Eukaryota, Metazoa, Arthropoda, Malacostraca, Decapoda, Penaeidae. The transcript is spliced from 4 exons.